AGGGCGCAUGGUGAAUGCCUUGGUACUAGGAGCCGAUGAAGGACGGGACUAACACCGAUAUGCUUCGGGGAGCGGUAAGUACGCUUUGAUCCGGAGAUUUCCGAAUGGGGAAACCCAACCAACUUAGUCGUUGGUUGCUUGACUAGUGAAUCUAUAGCUAGCAAGCGGUAGACGCAGUGAACUGAAACAUCUCAGUAGCUGCAGGAAGAGAAAGAAACAUCGAUUCCCUGAGUAGCGGCGAGCGAACGGGGAAGAGCCCAAACCAACGAGCUUGCUCGUUGGGGUUGUAGGACUGAACAUUUGAGUUACCAAAGAGCGACGUAGUCGAAACAGUUGGGAAGCUGUGCCAGAGAUGGUGAAAGCCCAGUAGACGAAACGGCACUCUCUCAGUUCAGGAUCCUGAGUACGGCGGGACACGUGAAACCCCGUCGGAAGCAGCGAGGACCAUCUCGCAAGGCUAAAUACUCCCUAGUGACCGAUAGUGAACCAGUACCGUGAGGGAAAGGUGAAAAGCACCCCGGAAGGGGAGUGAAAUAGUUCCUGAAACCAUGUGCCUACAAGCUGUCGGAGCCCAUUAAUGGGUGACGGCGUGCCUCUUGCAGAAUGAACCGGCGAGUUACGAUUGCAUGCAAGGUUAAGGUGGAAAAACCGGAGCCGCAGCGAAAGCGAGUCUGAAAUGGGCGUAUGAAGUAUGUAGUUGUAGACCCGAAACCAGGUGACCUACCCAUGUCCAGGUUGAAGGUGCGGUAAAGCGCACUGGAGGACCGAACCCGUGUCAGUUGAAAAUGGCUGGGAUGAGGUGUGGGUAGCGGUGAAAUUCCAAACGAACUUGGAGAUAGCUGGUUCUCUCCGAAAUCUCUUUAGGGGGAGCCUUGGGAAUUAGAAUCGUGGAGGUAGAGCUACUGUUUGAACAAGGGGCCCGUCAUGGGUUACCAACUUCAGAUAAACUCCGAAUGCCAUUGAUUUAUGCCCAGGAGUCACACGAUGAGUGAUAAGAUCCACCGUGUAAAGGGGAACAGCCCAGAUCACCAGUUAAGGUCCCUAAAUAUAUGCUAAGUGGAAAAGGAUGUGGAGUUGCAUAGACAACUAGGAUGUUGGCUCAGAAGCAGCCACCAUUUAAAGAGUGCGUAAUAGCUCACUAGUCGAGUGAUUCUGCGCCGAAAAUGUACCGGGGCUAAGCAUAUUACCGAAACUGUGGAUGUGCACUACGUGCACGUGAUAGGAGAGCGUUCUAAGGGCGGCGAAGUCAGACCGUGAGGACUGGUGGAGCGCUUAGAAGUGAGAAUGCCGGUAUGAGUAGCGAAAGACAGGUGAGAAUCCUGUCCACCGAAUGACUAAGGUUUCCUGGGGAAGGCUCGUCCUCCCAGGGUAAGUCGGGACCUAAGCCGAGGCCGAGAGGCGUAGGCGAUGGAUAACAGGUUGAGAUUCCUGUACCAGUUAACUGCGUUUGACGAUGGAGGGACGCAGGAGGCUAAGCAAACCUCACGAUUGGAAGAGUGGGGCCAAGCAGUAAGUCAGGAUGUGAGUCAAAUGCUUACAUCCGGGUUGACAAGCUGUGAUGGGGAGCGAAAUUACAGUAGCGAAGUUGCCGAUGUCACACUGCCGAGAAAAGCUUCUAAGGAGCACGUUAACUGCCCGUACCGCAAACCGACACAGGUAGUCGAGGAGAGAAUCCUAAGGUGAGCGAGAGAACUCUCGUUAAGGAACUCGGCAAAAUGACCCCGUAACUUCGGAAGAAGGGGUGCUAGCCAAGAGAUUGGUUAGCCGCAGUGAAUAGGCCCAAACAACUGUUUAUCAAAAACACAGGUCUCUGCAAAAUCGUAAGAUGACGUAUAGAGGCUGACACCUGCCCGGUGCUGGAAGGUUAAGAGGAGAGCUUAGCGUAAGCGAAGGUUUGAAUUGAAGCCCCAGUAAACGGCGGCCGUAACUAUAACGGUCCUAAGGUAGCGAAAUUCCUUGUCGGGUAAGUUCCGACCCGCACGAAAGGCGUAACGAUCUGGGCACUGUCUCAACGAGAGACUCGGUGAAAUUGAAAUCCCUGUGAAGAUGCAGGGUACCCGCGACAGGACGGAAAGACCCCAUGGAGCUUUACUGUAGCUUGAUAUUGAGUGUUUGUACUGCUUGUACAGGAUAGGUAGGAGCCAUAGAAGUCGGAACGCUAGUUUCGACGGAGGCGUUGGUGGGAUACUACCCUUGCAUUAUGACCACUCUAACCCGCAGCACUGAACGUGCUGGGAGACAGUGUCAGGUGGGCAGUUUGACUGGGGCGGUCGCCUCCUAAAAGGUAACGGAGGCGCCCAAAGGUUCCCUCAGAAUGGUUGGAAAUCAUUCGUCGAGUGUAAAGGCACAAGGGAGCUUGACUGUGAGACAGACAUGUCGAACAGGUGCGAAAGCAGGGCUUAGUGAUCAGGCGGUAGAGAAUGGAAUUGCCGUCGCUUAACGGAUAAAAGUUACCUCGGGGAUAACAGGCUGAUCUCCCCCAAGAGUUCACAUCGACGGGGAGGUUUGGCACCUCGAUGUCGGCUCA
RNAcentral lists this ribosomal RNA (2527 nucleotides) under metagenome. RNAcentral describes it as "bacterial LSU rRNA". It matches the Rfam family "Bacterial large subunit ribosomal RNA", at positions 14 to 2539 of the family's 2925-position model. The record is from RNAcentral.